RNAcentral lists this ribosomal RNA (497 nucleotides) under uncultured bacterium. Its description in RNAcentral is "partial 16S ribosomal RNA". It matches the Rfam family "Bacterial small subunit ribosomal RNA", at positions 28 to 507 of the family's 1533-position model. The record is from RNAcentral.
GACGAACGCUGGCGGCGUGCCUAAUACAUGCAAGUUGAGCGCUGAAGGUUGGUACUUGUACCAACUGGAUGAGCAGCGAACGGGUGAGUAACGCGUGGGGAAUCUGCCUUUGAGCGGGGGACAACAUUUGGAAACGAAUGCUAAUACCGCAUAAAAACUUUAAACACAAGUUUUAAGUUUGAAAGAUGCAAUUGCAUCACUCAAAGAUGAUCCCGCGUUGUAUUAGCUAGUUGGUGAGGUAAAGGCUCACCAAGGCGAUGAUACAUAGCCGACCUGAGAGGGUGAUCGGCCACAUUGGGACUGAGACACGGCCCAAACUCCUACGGGAGGCAGCAGUAGUGAAUCUUCGGCAAUGGACGAAAGUCUGACCGAGCAACGCCGCGUGAGUGAAGAAGGUUGUCGGAUCGUAAAACUCUGUUGGUAGAGAAGAACGUUGGUGAGAGUGGAAAGCUCAUCAAGUGACGGUAACUACCCAGAAAGGGACGGCUAACUACGUG